RNAcentral lists this ribosomal RNA (388 nucleotides) under uncultured bacterium. Its description in RNAcentral is "bacterial SSU rRNA". It matches the Rfam family "Bacterial small subunit ribosomal RNA", at positions 28 to 412 of the family's 1533-position model. The record is from RNAcentral.
AAUCAACGCUGACGGCGUGCCUCAGACAUGCAAGUCGCACGGCUCUUCUGCAAGGGAGGGUAGUGGCGGACGGGUGAGGAACACGUACCUAACCUGCCGAUGAGCGGGGGAUACCCCGGGGAAACCCAGGACAAUACCGCAUGUGGUCUUCUCGUUGCGGCGGGAAGAGUAAACCCCACGUCGCAAGAGGCGGGGGCUCAUCGAGGGGGUGCGGCCGAUUAGCUGGUUGGUGGGGUAACGGCCACCAAGGCGACGAUCGGUAGCUGGUCUGAGAGGACGGCCAGCCACACGGGGACUGAGACACGGCCCCGACUCCUACGGGAGGCAGCAGCGAGGAAUCUUGGUCAAUGGGCGCAAGCCUGAACCAGCGACGCCGCGUGGGGAUGAC